This 408-nucleotide ribosomal RNA is filed under the name Triticum aestivum (bread wheat). RNAcentral's name for it is "partial small subunit ribosomal RNA". The record is from RNAcentral. Lineage: Eukaryota; Viridiplantae; Streptophyta; Magnoliopsida; Poales; Poaceae.
AUGGCGAAAAGGCCCAAAUCCUUCUAUAUUACAGUGUCUAAGAGGUUGUGGUUGCUGCAUUUUGCGAAGGGACUCGAGUAUGAAGAAUUAAUGAAACGAAGGGCCAACACUAAAGAAGAAAGGGAUCUACUUGAGGCUGAAGAAGAGAAGAAGGAGGGCAAAAGUGCAAAAUGGCAGAUCAGGGAGGGGAUCAAAAUCCCUAGCAGCCUCCAUUUCGAAACCGAGCCUGGCACACAUCUCUCUCCCUCAUCCCUCCUUCUCCACCUCCGGCCGCCGCCGCGGCCAGGCCGGCGUGGCGACAUGUCACCAGCUCCACCACUCCACCACAACCAGCAUCACCACCCAUCCAUCCAUCCGCACCACAUCCACCUCACGCAACUCACCAGACAGAGGGCCGGCGGUGCCUGA